RNAcentral lists this ribosomal RNA (258 nucleotides) under uncultured bacterium. RNAcentral describes it as "partial 16S ribosomal RNA". It matches the Rfam family "Bacterial small subunit ribosomal RNA", at positions 96 to 354 of the family's 1533-position model. The record is from RNAcentral.
CGGCGGACGGGUGAGUAACGCGUGGGUAACCUGCCUCAUACAGGGGGAUAACAGUUAGAAAUGACUGCUAAAACCGCAUAAGCGCACAUUGUCGAGUGACAGAGUGUGAAAAACUCCGGUGGUAUGAGAUGGACCCGCGUCUGAUUAGCUAGUUGGUGAGGUAACGGCCCACCAAGGCGACGAUCAGUAGCCGGCCUGAGAGGGCGACCGGCCACAUUGGGACUGAGACACGGCCCAAACUCCUACGGGAGGCAGCAG